AAUACUUAGUGGCGGACGGGUGAGUAACGCGUGAGAAUCUGCCCUUAGGUCGGGGACAACCAUUGGAAACGAUGGCUAAUACCGGAUAAGCCGGAAGGUAAAAGAUUAAUUGCCUAGGGAAGAGCUCGCGUCUGAUUAGCUAGUUGGUGAGGUAAAGGCUCACCAAGGCAUCGAUCAGUAGCUGGUCUGAGAGGAUGACCAGCCACACUGGGACUGAGACACGGCCCAGACUCCUACGGGAGGCAGCAGUGGGGAAUUUUCCGCAAUGGGCGAAAGCCUGACGGAGCAAGACCGCGUGAGGGAGGAAGGCUCUUGGGUUGUAAACCUCUUUUCUUGGGGAAGAACACAAUGACGGUACCCAAGGAAUCAGCAUCGGCUAACUCCGUGCCAGCAGCCGCGGUAAUACGGAGGAUGCAAGCGUUAUCCGGAAUUAUUGGGCGUAAAGCGUCCGCAGGUGGCACUUCAAGUCUGCUGUCAAAGACCGGGGCUUAACCCUGGAGAGGCAGUGGAAACUGAAGCGCUAGAGUGUCGUAGGGGUAGAGGGAAUUCCUGGUGUAGCGGUGAAAUGCGUAGAGAUCAGGAAGAACAUCGGUGGCGAAAGCGCUCUACUGGACGACAACUGACACUCAGGGACGAAAGCUAGGGGAGCGAAUGGGAUUAGAUACCCCAGUAGUCCUAGCCGUAAACGAUGGAUACUAGGUGUGGCUUGUAUCGACCCGAGCCGUGCCGUAGCUAACGCGUUAAGUAUCCCGCCUGGGGAGUACGCGCGCAAGCGUGAAACUCAAAGGAAUUGACGGGGGCCCGCACAAGCGGUGGAGUAUGUGGUUUAAUUCGAUGCAACGCGAAGAACCUUACCAGGGCUUGACAUGUCUGGAAUCUGCUUGAAAGGGCAGAGUGCCUUCGGGAGCCAGAACACAGGUGGUGCAUGGCUGUCGUCAGCUCGUGUCGUGAGAUGUUGGGUUAAGUCCCGCAACGAGCGCAACCCUCGUUUUUAGUUGCCAUCAUUAAGUUGGGCACUCUAGAGAGACUGCCGGUGACAAACCGGAGGAAGGUGGGGAUGACGUCAAGUCAGCAUGCCCCUUACGUCCUGGGCUACACACGUACUACAAUGCGACGGACAAAGGGCAGCCAACCAGCAAUGGUGCGCUAAUCCCAUAAACCGUGGCUCAGUUCAGAUCGCAGGCUGCAACUCGCCUGCGUGAAGGAGGAAUCGCUAGUAAUUGCAGGUCAGCAUACUGCAGUGAAUCCGUUCCCGGGCCUUGUACACACCGCCCGUCACACCAUGGAAGCUGGCCACGCCCGAAGUCGUUACCCUAACCUGUAUUGGAGGGGGAUGCCGAAGGCAGGGCUGGUGACUGGGGUGAAGUCGUAACAAGGUAGCCGUACCGGAAGGUGUGGCUGGAUCACCUCCUUUUAGGGAGACCUGUUUCACAAUCGAUAUUUAAGAUGAAAGUCUUAGCUGCGUUUGUGAAAGCAUCCCAAGGUCGUACGAGGCAGUAGACUUAAACUUUUAAACUAUUAACCGGUUCGGUGCAUGGGCUAUUAGCUCAGGUGGUUAGAGCGCACCCCUGAUAAGGGUGAGGUCCCUGGUUCGAGUCCAGGAUGGCCCAUACUCUGCACCAGGAGCGACAAGUAAUUAGGAACCCAACCCUCAGCACCUUAUUUUGUUAACAAUCAAAAUCUGAUUGCUCUCAAAAGAGAAUGCUGGGCGUAAAGUCCAGUCAUGUACCUUGAAAACUGCAUAGCAAAAAGAAGAGAAACUUGAAGGAAUUUCUACUAGCAAGUGCUUAUUAGUUUAAGUACAGCUAGAUAGAGAAACAAUCAAGCAAUAGU
RNAcentral lists this ribosomal RNA (1833 nucleotides) under Cyanobacteria bacterium GIL-2b. RNAcentral's name for it is "bacterial SSU rRNA". The stretch from base 1 to 1414 matches the Rfam family "Bacterial small subunit ribosomal RNA". Lineage: Bacteria; Bacillati; Cyanobacteriota. The record is from RNAcentral.